Molecule: ribosomal RNA, 574 nt
Filed under: Alternaria arborescens
Lineage: Eukaryota; Fungi; Ascomycota; Dothideomycetes; Pleosporales; Pleosporaceae
Description: partial 18S ribosomal RNA
Rfam family: 5.8S ribosomal RNA (bases 218-369)
Source: RNAcentral
AAGUAAAAGUCGUAACAAGGUCUCCGUAGGUGAACCUGCGGAGGGAUCAUUACACAAAUAUGAAGGCGGGCUGGAAUCUCUCGGGGUUACAGCCUUGCUGAAUUAUUCACCCUUGUCUUUUGCGUACUUCUUGUUUCCUUGGUGGGUUCGCCCACCACUAGGACAAACAUAAACCUUUUGUAAUUGCAAUCAGCGUCAGUAACAAAUUAAUAAUUACAACUUUCAACAACGGAUCUCUUGGUUCUGGCAUCGAUGAAGAACGCAGCGAAAUGCGAUAAGUAGUGUGAAUUGCAGAAUCAGUGAAUCAUCGAAUCUUUGAACGACAUUGCGCCCUUUGGUAUUCCAAAGGGCAUGCCUGUUCGAGCGUCAUUUGUACCCUCAAGCUUUGCUUGGUGUUGGGCGUCUUGUCUCUAGCUUUGCUGGAGACUCGCCUUAAAGUAAUUGGCAGCCGGCCUACUGGUUUCGGAGCGCAGCACAAGUCGCACUCUCUAUCAGCAAAGGUCUAGCAUCCAUUAAGCCUUUUUUCAACUUUUGACCUCGGAUCAGGUAGGGAUACCCGCUGAACUUAAGCAUA